AACGAACGCUGGCGGCAGGCUUAACACAUGCAAGUCGAGCGCCCCGCAAGGGGAGCGGCAGACGGGUGAGUAACACGUGGGAACAUACCCUUUACUACGGAACAACUCCGGGAAACUGGAGCCAAUACCGUAUGUGCCCUUUGGGGGAAAGAUUUAUCGGUAAAGGAUUGGCCCGCGUUGGAUUAGCUAGUUGGUGGGGUAAAGGACUACCAAGGCGACGAUCCAUAGCUGGUCUGAGAGGAUGAUCAGCCACAUUGGGACUGAGAAACGGACCAAACUCCUACGGGAGGCAGCAGUGGGGAAUAUUGGACAAUGGGCGCAAGCCUGAUCCAGCCAUGCCGCGUGAGUGAUGAAGGCCUUAGGGUUGUAAAGCUCUUUCACCGAUGAAGAUAAUGACGGUAGUCGGAGAAGAAGCCCCGGCUAACUUCGUGCCAGCCGCCGCAGUAA
RNAcentral lists this ribosomal RNA (447 nucleotides) under uncultured bacterium. RNAcentral describes it as "partial 16S ribosomal RNA". It matches the Rfam family "Bacterial small subunit ribosomal RNA", at positions 29 to 523 of the family's 1533-position model. The record is from RNAcentral.